CGCCCGCCGCGCGCGGCGGGCCUACGGGAGGCAGCAGUGGGGAAUCUUCCGCAAUGGACGAAAGUCUGACGGAGCAACGCCGCGUGAGUGAAGAAGGUUUUCGGAUCGUAAAACUCUGUUGUUAAGGACGAAUGUAUAGAUUGUAAAUAAUGGUUUAUAAUGACGGUACUUAACGAGGAAGCCACGGCUAACUACGUGCCAGCAGCCGCGGUAAUA
RNAcentral lists this ribosomal RNA (216 nucleotides) under uncultured Veillonellaceae bacterium. RNAcentral's name for it is "partial 16S ribosomal RNA". It matches the Rfam family "Bacterial small subunit ribosomal RNA", at positions 309 to 525 of the family's 1533-position model. Lineage: Bacteria; Bacillati; Bacillota; Negativicutes; Veillonellales; Veillonellaceae. The record is from RNAcentral.